CAACAGGGAUUGCCUCAGUAACUGCGAGUGAAGCGGCAAAAGCUCAAAUUUGAAAUCUGGCGCCUUCGGCGUCCGAGUUGUAAUUUGGAGGGGCAUCUUCGGGUUUGGCGCCGUCCUAAGUUCCUUGGAACAGGACGUCACAGAGGGUGAGAAUCCCGUGCCUGGGCGGCAGUCCAAAUCCAUGUGAAGUGUCUCCGACGAGUCGAGUUGUUUGGGAAUGCAGCUCAAAAUGGGUGGUAAAUUUCAUCUAAAGCUAAAUAUUGGCGAGAGACCGAUAGCGCACAGGUAGAGUGAUCGAAAGAUGAAAAGCACUUUGAAAAGAGAGUUAAAAAGUACGUGAAAUUGUUGAAAGGGAAGCGCUUGCGACCAGACUCGGUCUUUGGGGGUCAUCCGGUUUUCGGCUCGGUGCCAUCCCCAUUGAUCGGGCCAGCAUCGGUUCCGGCGGCGGGAUAAAAGGCGAGGGAAUGUGGCUCUCUUCGGGGAGUGUUUUAGCCCUCGUCACAAUGCCGCCAGCUGGGACCGAGGACCGCGCUUCGGCUAGGAUGCUGGCGUAAUGGUCUUAAGCGA
Molecule: ribosomal RNA, 567 nt
Filed under: Trichophaea abundans
Lineage: Eukaryota; Fungi; Ascomycota; Pezizomycetes; Pezizales; Pyronemataceae
Description: eukaryotic LSU rRNA
Rfam family: Eukaryotic large subunit ribosomal RNA
Source: RNAcentral